CGCACAUUGCGCCCGUCAGUAUUCUGGCGGGCAUGCCUGUCCGAGCGUCAUUUCAACCCUCAGGACCCAUUUUAGGGACCUGGUGUUGGGGCUCAGCCGCUCCGGCCCGUGCCGACUCCCCUAGUGGGUUCGCGUGCGGUGCCUGGCUGACCCUGAAAUACAGUGGCGGUCUCGUUGCGACUCCCUUGCGUAGUAAUUUCACCUCGCACUGAAGCUCGCGUCCUGGCCACGCCGUAAAACCCUUCUCUCUCCUCGGAGUGCAGAAGCAUAUUCUUGGUUGACCUCGGAUCAGGUAGGGUUACCCGCUGAACUUAA
RNAcentral lists this unclassified non-coding RNA (315 nucleotides) under Tolypocladium sp. RNAcentral's name for it is "partial contains 5.8S ribosomal RNA, internal transcribed spacer 2, and large subunit ribosomal RNA". Lineage: Eukaryota; Fungi; Ascomycota; Sordariomycetes; Hypocreales; Ophiocordycipitaceae. The record is from RNAcentral.